This 492-nucleotide ribosomal RNA is filed under the name uncultured bacterium. RNAcentral describes it as "partial 16S ribosomal RNA". It matches the Rfam family "Bacterial small subunit ribosomal RNA", at positions 29 to 507 of the family's 1533-position model. The record is from RNAcentral.
AGUGAACGCUGGCGGUAGGCCUAACACAUGCAAGUCGAACGGCAGCACAGUAAGAGCUUGCUCUUACGGGUGGCGAGUGGCGGACGGGUGAGGAAUACAUCGGAAUCUACUUUUUCGUGGGGGAUAACGUAGGGAAACUUACGCUAAUACCGCAUACGACCUACGGGUGAAAGCAGGGGAUCUUUGGACCUUGCGCGAUUGAAUGAGCCGAUGUCGGAUUAGCUAGUUGGCGGGGUAAAGGCCCACCAAGGCGACGAUCCGUAGCUGGUCUGAGAGGAUGAUCAGCCACACUGGAACUGAGACACGGUCCAGACUCCUACGGGAGGCAGCAGUGGGGAAUAUUGGACAAUGGGCGCAAGCCUGAUCCAGCCAUACCGCGUGGGUGAAGAAGGCCUUCGGGUUGUAAAGCCCUUUUGUUGGGAAAGAAAGGCAGCAGGUUAAUACCCCGCUGUUCUGACGGUACCCAAAGAAUAAGCACCGGCUAACUUCGUG